CCCGCCGGUGGCGAGCGUACGGCCGUCCGGGCUGAACCCCCAGGACAGGACCGCGCCGGUGUCCGGGCGGCUCGACGCCGCCGAGCGGGUC
RNAcentral lists this transfer RNA (91 nucleotides) under Streptomyces fumanus. RNAcentral describes it as "tRNA-Phe". Lineage: Bacteria; Bacillati; Actinomycetota; Actinomycetes; Kitasatosporales; Streptomycetaceae. The record is from RNAcentral.